Molecule: long non-coding RNA, 2458 nt
Organism: Gopherus flavomarginatus (Mexican gopher tortoise)
Lineage: Eukaryota; Metazoa; Chordata; Testudines; Testudinidae
Exons: 3
Source: RefSeq, a predicted model, not a curated record
CCCGUGGAUCUCCCUUCCCUGAGCUGGAGAGAGCGGAAGCGCCCCCGGGGCAGGCUGGGAGAUGUAGUUCCUGACUCUCCCUGGACCGGAAGUGACGCUGGGUGGGAGAGAAGAAGCCGAGCUGCAAACGCGCGCGGGCGGCUCCGGCUCUGCCUGGCUCGCGCGGGGCCGUUGGAGCCUCUCCCGGGGCCGGAGAAGGGUGUGUGACUGAGAUCAGGGCUCCUAUCGUACUGAGCGUGGCCCUGUUCUGCCAGGCACUGAAGAGACCCCAGGUGAGAUCAGACCCCACUGUUGUGCCAGGAGUCCAUGUCUCUGCUCCCUGUGGCCGUGGUGCAUUCCGUACCAAAGCAGCAUGUCAGCAGAGCAGACGCACACACCGUAGCUCUGCCUGGAACACGCAGCAUUCACUGCCAGACGGGCUGGGCGAUUUUUAAGGGGCUGAUAUGCCUGGCUGGGAUGGAUUCCCUUGGACGAGGGUCUGAGGCUCUCAUAGUUUGAGAUAUUCCUUUGUGCAUAGUCAGUUCUUUCCAUUUAUUGUUUUCCCCCUACCUAUUCCCGAUGCCCUUCCCUUCUUUACUUGCUUUGGUUAUUUCAGUUCCAGCUUUUAAAUGGGAUCUAAGAUUUGCAAAGCUGAAUGAAAGAUAAAACAAACAGAACCAUUUGAAUGUUGGCCCAUAGCUGGUAGAACUGUGCCUAGUGAAGGUCGGCUGUAAUGACCGGGUUCCCUAUAGCAUUUUCUGGUGGGGCAGAUAAAACAACCUCAAAGAGUCAAAUGUGCGUUUUAGGGCAAAAGGGUUAAAUGCAUGAGAAAUGAACUGACACUUAAUUUCCAUUUCUUAAUGCCUAAAAUUUUGACGCUCGCACCAAUUUUUUUUUUAAAGCUAUGCACAGCACACAGUCAAGUUAAUGAAUGAAAGCACACCCAUUAUUGACUGCUUUGUGUUGCAUGAGCAUCUGAUUAAGCACCUAAUUAAAACUGUACCAAUGUAAGUGAAAACGCAUCAACCCAGCUUAGCUCCAGGGUGUUCAGAUGUUUCUAAAUUAAAUACAUGGCAGAAUUGUUAAUGAAGAAAAUGCACUGUAAUGCCUCUACCCAGUCCUGUUGACUUCUUCUCCCAACCCUCCUAUGAGUUCUGGCCUCUUGGUCAACUGAGCUCUCAGUCCCACUUCAGCUGUGCCCUCUCCCAGCCUAACCCAUUUCUACAGCAAUGUUAAUCCCCCUCAUCAAGGCAGGGGGCUGGCGCUGCAACCCCUAAGGUACUUGUGUUAAUCACUGUCUCUCAUUCUGGUGCUAUUAAGAUUUCAGGGAAUGAUUUCUCAGAAUUACUCACUCUGGGAGGUGGGAGAGAGGAGAGGCUCAGGGGGUUUGGUCUUAGGGCCACGUUCAACUCUGGUAGCCUCCAUGUUACCUCAUCCUCCACUCUUCCCCAUGUGUCUCUGCUCAUGUGUCAGAGUGUCACCUUCUGAUCAUAAUGCCACUCGCCUCAGCAGAGUUCCCAAACAGGAGCUAUAUGAAGAGGGGCUUACGGUACUGAGAGUGAAAUACAUCACAGAGAGGGAGUAAUUAUCCUGAAAUGAAACAUUCCAGUCUAGGAAGUGAAAGAAUUCAAGUACUUCAUUACUUAAAAUUAUGCUUGAAAGGAUUGGAUUUUUAUGAAUAAAUUGCAGUAAAUGUUGAUUUCACUGUACACAGACACAGAUGAAAAAAUAUUUAUAUAGGUAAUAUACAGAAAUGCUUCUGGAGAAAGUGGAGUUUUAUUUAAGGAUAUUUACACUAUAUAUUUUGGGUGUGAUCUUGACAAUUUCUCUUUGAACAGUUAUCUGAUUUGGUUUUUGGAAUCUCAGCAGUUACUGUAAUUAAAUUAUUGUUGUCUGAUGACCCCCAUAACUUCCCACAGCUCUGAACAUUGAAAUUGUAAACAUUGAAAAAGGGCUUAAAAAUAAAUAUCGCUAUCUGUUGAAAUUAAAAGAAAGAAAUAGACAAAAUGAAUUUUGGCAAACCCACUUAGCAGCAAUUACAAUAUGUUAGGGGAUGGAAAUUGACAACUAAGGCACCAACCUUAAUUCUGCCCUGUAGUGAGACCAGGCAAUAGCUGUAGGGCUACGAAUUAGGCAUUUUAGUGUAUAAAGUUCCGGAUUACAAAUUGGAAUAAUCUAAAGACACAUGAGAUCUUUUCCUCAGGAUAUCACCGUCACUGGGUUGUUUCCCUUAUUGAUAAUUCCCAGAAGGGAACAGAUUAAUAACAUUUUAUCAGUUAUGAAGUGUCCAUUUCAGAUUUCUGGGGAGUGUCUGUUGUUUUGCACUAGGGGCCAGGUCCUUGGAGAGACGGAACCUUGGUUUCAUUUGAACUUCUCCAUGCUCAGCAGCUUCUGGAAUUUGCUUCAAAGUAUUUACAUGUUUCCCUGCCCUGUUGUUAAAAGUGCUGCUUUAGAAAGUGGGGAAGGGCAGGAACUGACU